Molecule: ribosomal RNA, 813 nt
Filed under: Bacillus sonorensis
Lineage: Bacteria; Bacillati; Bacillota; Bacilli; Caryophanales; Bacillaceae
Description: bacterial SSU rRNA
Rfam family: Bacterial small subunit ribosomal RNA
Source: RNAcentral
GCCUGUAAGACUGGGAUAACUCCGGGAAACCGGGGCUAAUACCGGAUGCUUGAUUGAACCGCAUGGUUCAAUUAUAAAAGGUGGCUUUUAGCUACCACUUACAGAUGGACCCGCGGCGCAUUAGCUAGUUGGUGAGGUAACGGCUCACCAAGGCAACGAUGCGUAGCCGACCUGAGAGGGUGAUCGGCCACACUGGGACUGAGACACGGCCCAGACUCCUACGGGAGGCAGCAGUAGGGAAUCUUCCGCAAUGGACGAAAGUCUGACGGAGCAACGCCGCGUGAGUGAUGAAGGUUUUCGGAUCGUAAAACUCUGUUGUUAGGGAAGAACAAGUACCGUUCGAAUAGGGCGGUACCUUGACGGUACCUAACCAGAAAGCCACGGCUAACUACGUGCCAGCAGCCGCGGUAAUACGUAGGUGGCAAGCGUUGUCCGGAAUUAUUGGGCGUAAAGCGCGCGCAGGCGGUUUCUUAAGUCUGAUGUGAAAGCCCCCGGCUCAACCGGGGAGGGUCAUUGGAAACUGGGGAACUUGAGUGCAGAAGAGGAGAGUGGAAUUCCACGUGUAGCGGUGAAAUGCGUAGAGAUGUGGAGGAACACCAGUGGCGAAGGCGACUCUCUGGUCUGUAACUGACGCUGAGGCGCGAAAGCGUGGGGAGCGAACAGGAUUUAGAUACCCUGGUAGUCCACGCCGUAAACGAUGAGUGCUAAGUGUUAGAGGGUUUCCGCCCUUUAGUGCUGCAGCAAACGCAUUAAGCACUCCGCCUGGGGAGUACGGUCGCAGACUGAAACUCAAAGGGAAUUGACGGGGGCCCG